ACGCACGCUGGCGGCGUGCUUCACACAUGCCAGUCGCACGGUGAAGCUCCAGCUUGCUGGAGUGGAUCAGUGGCGAACGGGUGAGUAACACGUGAGCAACCUGCCCCUGACUCUGGAAUAAGCGCUGGAAACGGCGUCUAAUACUGGAUACGAGAAGGGUCCGCAUGGGCACUUUCUGGAAAGUUUUUCGGUUGGGGAUGGGCUCGCGGCCUAUCAGCUUGUUGGUGAGGUAAUGGCUCACCAAGGCGACGACGGGUAGCCGGCCUGAGAGGGCGACCGGCCACACUGGGACUGAGACACGGCCCAGACUCCUACGGGAGGCAGCAGUGGGGAAUAUUGCACAAUGGGCGAAAGCCUGAUGCAGCGACGCCGCGUGAGGGAUGACGGCCUUCGGGUUGUAAACCUCUUUCAGCAGGGAAGAAGCGAAAGUGACAGUACCUGCAGAAGAAGCACCGGCUAACUACGUG
RNAcentral lists this ribosomal RNA (467 nucleotides) under uncultured bacterium. Its description in RNAcentral is "partial 16S ribosomal RNA". It matches the Rfam family "Bacterial small subunit ribosomal RNA", at positions 29 to 507 of the family's 1533-position model. The record is from RNAcentral.